CUCCUGGAAACGGGUGGUAAUGCCGGAUGCUCCAGUUGACCGCAUGGUCCUCUGGGAAAGCUUUUGCGGUAUGGGAUGGGGUCGCGUCCUAUCAGCUUGAUGGCGGGGUAACGGCCCACCAUGGCUUCGACGGGUAGCCGGCCUGAGAGGGCGACCGGCCACAUUGGGACUGAGAUACGGCCCAGACUCCUACGGGAGGCAGCAGUGGGGAAUAUUGCACAAUGGGCGCAAGCCUGAUGCAGCGACGCCGCGUGCGGGAUGACGGCCUUCGGGUUGUAAACCGCUUUUGACUGGGAGCAAGCCCUUCGGGGUGAGUGUACCUUUCGAAUAAGCACCGGCUAACUACGUGCCAGCAGCCGCGGUAAUACGUAGGGUGCAAGCGUUAUCCGGAAUUAUUGGGCGUAAAGGGCUCGUAGGCGGUUCGUCGCGUCCGGUGUGAAAGUCCAUCGCUUAACGGUGGAUCCGCGCCGGGUACGGGCGGGCUUGAGUGCGGUAGGGGAGACUGGAAU
Molecule: ribosomal RNA, 509 nt
Filed under: Bifidobacterium adolescentis
Lineage: Bacteria; Bacillati; Actinomycetota; Actinomycetes; Bifidobacteriales; Bifidobacteriaceae
Description: partial 16S ribosomal RNA
Rfam family: Bacterial small subunit ribosomal RNA
Source: RNAcentral